GUGGUCACUUCAGCAGCACAUAUACUAAUAUUGGAAUGAUACAGAGAAAGUUAGCAUGGCCACUGCCAAGGAUGUCACACAAAUUUCUUAGGCGUUUUAUAUUUCA
Molecule: small nuclear RNA, 106 nt
Organism: Sphaerodactylus townsendi
Lineage: Eukaryota; Metazoa; Chordata; Lepidosauria; Squamata; Sphaerodactylidae
Source: RefSeq, a predicted model, not a curated record